UGGGGAAUUUUGGACAAUGGGCGAAAGCCUGAUCCAGCAAUGCCGCGUGUGUGAAGAAGGCCUUCGGGUUGUAAAGCACUUUUGUCCGGAAAGAAAUCCUUGGCUCUAAUACAGUCGGGGGAUGACGGUACCGGAAGAAUAAGCACCAGCUAACUACGUGCCAGCAGCCGCGGUAAUACGUAGGGUGCAAGCGUUAAUCGGAAUUACUGGGCGUAAAGCGUGCGCAGGCGGUUUGCUAAGACCGAUGUGAAAUCCCCGGGCUCAACCUGGGAACUGCAUUGGUGACUGGCAGGCUAGAGUAUGGCAGAGGGGGGUAGAAUUCCACGUGUAGCAGUGAAAUGCGUAGAGAUGUGGAGGAAUACCGAUGGCGAAGGCAGCCCCCUGGGCCAAAUACUGACGCUCAUGCACGAAAGCGUGGGGAGCAAAACAGGAUUAGAUACCCUGGUAGUCCACGCCCUAAACGAUGUCAACUAGUUGUUGGGGGAUUCAUUUCCUUAGUAACGUAGCUAACGCGUGAAGUUGACCGCCUGGGG
Molecule: ribosomal RNA, 533 nt
Filed under: uncultured bacterium
Lineage: Bacteria
Description: partial 16S ribosomal RNA
Rfam family: Bacterial small subunit ribosomal RNA
Source: RNAcentral